RNAcentral lists this ribosomal RNA (301 nucleotides) under uncultured bacterium. RNAcentral's name for it is "partial 16S ribosomal RNA". It matches the Rfam family "Bacterial small subunit ribosomal RNA", at positions 509 to 808 of the family's 1533-position model. The record is from RNAcentral.
CAGUAGCCACGGUAAUACAGAGGAUGCAAGCGUUAUCCGGAAUGAUUGGGCGUAGAGCGUCUGUAGGUGGCUUUUCAAGUCCGCCGUCAAAUCCCAGGGCUCAACCCUGGACAGGCGGUGGAAACUACCAAGCUGGAGUACGUAGGGGCAGAGGGAAUUUCCAGUGGAGCGGUGAAAUGCGUUGAGAUCAGAAAGAACACCAACGGCGAAAGCACUCUGCUGGGCCGACACUGACACUGAGGGACGAAAGCUAGGGGAGCAAGUGGGAUUAGAUACCCGUGUAGUCCCUGUCUCUUAUACA